AUUGAACGCUGGCGGCAGGCCUAACACAUGCAAGUCGAACGGUAACAGGAAGAAGCUUGCUUCUUUGCUGACGAGUGGCGGACGGGUGAGUAAUGUCCGGGAAACUGCCUGAUGGAGGGGGAUAACUACUGGAAACGGUAGCUCAUACCGCAUAACGUCGCAAGACCAAAGAGGGGGACCUUCGGGCCUCUUGCCAUCGGAUGUGACCAGAUGGGAUUAGCUAGUAGGUGGGGUAACGGCUCACCUAGGCGACGAUCCCUAGCUGGUCUGAGAGGAUGACCAGCCACACUGGAACUGAGACACGGUCCAGACUCCUACGGGAGGCAGCAGUGGGGAAUAUUGCACAAUGGGCGCAAGCCUGAUGCAGCCAUGCCGCGUGUAUGAAGAAGGCCUUCGGGUUGUAAAGUACUUUCAGCGGGGAGGAAGGGAGUAAAGUUAAUACCUUGGCUCAUUGACGUUACCCGCAGAAGAAGCACCGGCUAACUCCGUG
RNAcentral lists this ribosomal RNA (490 nucleotides) under uncultured bacterium. RNAcentral describes it as "partial 16S ribosomal RNA". It matches the Rfam family "Bacterial small subunit ribosomal RNA", at positions 30 to 507 of the family's 1533-position model. The record is from RNAcentral.